CUCUUCAAACAUUGAAUAGCCGCUCUUUUAUUCCUUGCUCGGGUGAAUUCCCUGGCCUUUUCAACUUCUGCAGCAGCCUUCUUAACAAGUACUUUCUCCUUUUUCUCUAGCAUUUCAAGCGUCUCAUUUAAUUUGUCUAACGUGGUUAGAGCAUUUGUUUCCUGCUUAGGUUUUCCAAAGAGCCGGUUAAACAUGGUUUACUCCAAUCCGCAAAUGAAACGCCGAUGCGAUCUUCUCUAUCACAAACCAACGAUAUCAGAUCAAAUAAAACCCUUUGAAAUUGGAGAUAAGAGAUCUUAUU
This 301-nucleotide unclassified non-coding RNA is filed under the name Hevea brasiliensis (rubber tree). Lineage: Eukaryota; Viridiplantae; Streptophyta; Magnoliopsida; Malpighiales; Euphorbiaceae. The record is from RNAcentral.